GUCAUCCUACGGGGCGCAGCAGUGGGGAAUAUUGCACAAUGGGGGAAACCCUGAUGCAGCGACGCCGCGUGAGUGAAGAAGUAUUUCGGUAUGUAAAGCUCUAUCAGCAGGGAAGAAAUACUGACCUUACGGUCAGCAGACGGUACCUGACUAAGAAGCCCCGGCUAACUACGUGCCAGCAGCCGCGGUAAUACGUAGGGGGCAAGCGUUAUCCGGAUUUACUGGGUGUAAAGGGAGCGUAGACGGCUGGCCAAGUCUGAAGUGAAAGCCCGGGGCUUAACCCCGGAACGGCUUUGGAAACUGGC
This 305-nucleotide ribosomal RNA is filed under the name uncultured bacterium. RNAcentral describes it as "bacterial SSU rRNA". It matches the Rfam family "Bacterial small subunit ribosomal RNA", at positions 333 to 637 of the family's 1533-position model. The record is from RNAcentral.